RNAcentral lists this ribosomal RNA (47 nucleotides) under Pluralibacter pyrinus. RNAcentral describes it as "partial 23S ribosomal RNA". Lineage: Bacteria; Pseudomonadati; Pseudomonadota; Gammaproteobacteria; Enterobacterales; Enterobacteriaceae. The record is from RNAcentral.
GGUUAAGCGACUAAGCGUACACGGUGUCUAGAGCGGCCGCACCGCGG